AACGAACGCUGGCGGUAUGCUUAACACAUGCAAGUCGAACGGGUGUAGCAAUACAUCAGUGGCAAACGGGUGAGGAAUGUAGAGGAAUCUCCCUAGCAGUAAGGAAUAACUUUGGGAAACCAAAGCUAAUGCCAUAUAUUACCCUCCGGGGGAAAGAUUUAUCGCUGUUAGAUGAGCCUCUAUCGGAUUAGCUAGUUGGUGAGGUAAUGGCUCACCAAGGCAAUGAUCCGUAGCUGGUCUUAGAGGAUGAUCAGCCACACUGGAACUGAGACACAGUCCAGACUCCUACGGGAGGCAGCAGUGGGGAAUAUUUGACAAUGGGCGAAAGCCUGAUCCAGCAAUGCCGCGUGAGUGAUGAAGGCCCUAGGGUUGUAAAGCUCUUUUACCAGGGAUGAUAAUGACAGUACCUGGAGAAUAAGCUCCGGCUAACUCCGUGCCAGCCGCCGCAGUAA
This 452-nucleotide ribosomal RNA is filed under the name uncultured bacterium. Its description in RNAcentral is "partial 16S ribosomal RNA". It matches the Rfam family "Bacterial small subunit ribosomal RNA", at positions 29 to 523 of the family's 1533-position model. The record is from RNAcentral.